UACGAAGGGGGCUAGCGUUGCUCGGAAUCACUGGGCGUAAAGCGCACGUAGGCGGAUUGUUAAGUCAGGGGUGGAAUCCUGGAGCUCAACUCCAGAACUGCCUUUGAUACUGGCGAUCUUGAGUCCGGGAGAGGUGAGUGGAACUGCGAGUGUAGAGGUGAAAUUCGUAGAUAUUCGCAAGAACACCAGUGGCGAAGGCGGCUCACUGGCCCGGUACUGACGCUGAGGUGCGAAAGCGUGGGGAGCAAACAGG
This 253-nucleotide ribosomal RNA is filed under the name uncultured bacterium. Its description in RNAcentral is "partial 16S ribosomal RNA". It matches the Rfam family "Bacterial small subunit ribosomal RNA", at positions 524 to 776 of the family's 1533-position model. The record is from RNAcentral.